AGAGUUUGAUCCUGGCUCAGGACGAACGCUGGCGGUGUGCUUCACACAUGCAAGUCGAACGAGGUAGCAAUACCUAGUGGCGGACGGGUGAGUAACGCGUGGGAAUCUGCCUUUAGAUGGGGGAUAACGAGCCGAAAGGUUCGCUAAUACCGCAUAUGCCGCAAGGUGAAAGGAGUAAUCCGUCUAAAGAUGAGCCCGCGUCCGAUUAGCUAGUUGGUGGGGUAAAGGCCUACCAAGGCGACGAUCGGUAGCUGGUCUGAGAGGAUGAUCAGCCACAAUGGGACUGAGACACGGCCCAUACUCCUACGGGAGGCAGCAGUGGGGAAUUUUACGCAAUGGGGGAAACCCUGACGUAGCGACACCGCGUGAGCGAAGAAGCCCCUUGGGGUGUAAAGCUCUGUCAGCUGGAACGAAACAAAUGACGGUACCUGUGGAGGAAGCAUCGGCUAACUACGUGCCAGCAGCCGCGGUAAGACGUAGGAUGCAAGCGUUGUCCGGAUUUAUUGGGCGUAAAGAGUUCGUAGGCGGUUAUUUAAGUCUGGUGUUAAAUACUGUGGCCCAACCACAGAACUGCAUUGGAUACUGGAUGACUUGAGUGCGGUAGAGGCGAGUGGAAUUCCCAGUGUAGCGGUGAAAUGCGUAGA
This 644-nucleotide ribosomal RNA is filed under the name uncultured bacterium. RNAcentral describes it as "bacterial SSU rRNA". It matches the Rfam family "Bacterial small subunit ribosomal RNA", at positions 8 to 694 of the family's 1533-position model. The record is from RNAcentral.